GAAUAUUGGACAAUGGGCGCAAGCCUGAUCCAGCCAUGCCGCGUGUGUGAAGAAGGCCUUCGGGUUGUAAAGCACUUUUGUUGGGGAAGAAAAGCCAUGGGCUAAUACCCUGUGGUUCUGACGGUACCCAAAGGAAGCACCGGCUAACUCUGUGCCAGCAGCCGCGGUAAUACAGAGGGUGCGAGCGUUGUUCGGAAUUACUGGGCGUAAAGCGCGCGCAGGCGGAUCCUGUAAGUCGGAAGUGAAAUUUCGGAGCUCAACUCCGAAGCUGCUUCUGAUACUGCGGAUCUGGAGACCGGUAGAGGUCGGUGGAAUUGCUGGUGUAGCGGUGGAAUGCGUAGAGAUCAGCAAGAACACCCGUGGCGAAGGCGGCCGACUGGGCCGGAUCUGACGCUGAGGCGCGAAAGCGUGGGGAGCAAACAG
RNAcentral lists this ribosomal RNA (423 nucleotides) under uncultured bacterium. RNAcentral describes it as "bacterial SSU rRNA". It matches the Rfam family "Bacterial small subunit ribosomal RNA", at positions 359 to 775 of the family's 1533-position model. The record is from RNAcentral.